This 27-nucleotide ribosomal RNA is filed under the name Pedersenia volubilis. Its description in RNAcentral is "26S ribosomal RNA". RNAcentral also lists the same sequence under 1 other name. The record is from RNAcentral. Lineage: Eukaryota; Viridiplantae; Streptophyta; Magnoliopsida; Caryophyllales; Amaranthaceae.
GACCCCAGGUCAGGCGGGGUUACCCGC